UCGUCGUCGAGCUUAUGAAAGACGUUAGUAGUUACCGCUGCGGCACUUGUAACUCUUCUUCUAUAACCAAACCUUAUUUUACAAAGCCUCUCUCAACCGGCCCCGUCGAUAGCCCCAACGUCGAUACAUUUUUCAGCAAUUUAUCCCAGCCCAUCGGAAAAUUCGCUAGUAAGGACAGACCUCUAAAUUUGUUGAUGUUUGCGUAAUAGGUUGAUUUAUCGGACUAUCACAUCCGGUCUUUCGGAAAAGGGCUAUAAGGGAAGCAAUUUGAAAAUGAUCCACGCGUUCAUUGAGGAUAAGAAUACACUCUCCAAAGAAGUGAUGGAUAUAUAUUUGGAAAACCGAAUCUUUACCUGGAAUUUUUCCAAAGGAAAUAAAUAUGCAAUGUUACAUGAAAUUCUUCGUUGGGCACUGAAAAAACGUGCUCUACCAACCAAUUUGGUUGUACUCUCAAGAAACAUCAAUGAAGAGGAGAAGGAGGUCUCAAGGGUUCUUCAAAGUUUGAGAAAGGAUGGUAGGUUCAAUAUUGUCUUUCAUGAUCCUACUACCCUGUUACUUGCAUGUGUUGGAGAACCCAUCAAAGAACCCAUCAAGAACCGCUGCGCCUCUUGUAAUUCUAUUAUAGUCAGGGAAGGCCAAAGUAGCUCGCAAAACCAAUAAGAUCUCAAGAGGUGGAGAGAGUAUUCUCGUCUUUAGACUCUAUGAAUAAAUUAUUACUAGUUAAGUUUGUAUUCAUCAAUGUUAUGAGCUGUGUUGGUCUAUGAAUAAAUUAUUACUAAGUUAAGUUUGUAUUCA
This is a long non-coding RNA of Camelina sativa (false flax), 795 nucleotides long. RefSeq lists it as uncharacterized. Lineage: Eukaryota; Viridiplantae; Streptophyta; Magnoliopsida; Brassicales; Brassicaceae. The record is from RefSeq and is a predicted model, not a curated record.